RNAcentral lists this ribosomal RNA (921 nucleotides) under uncultured bacterium. RNAcentral's name for it is "bacterial SSU rRNA". It matches the Rfam family "Bacterial small subunit ribosomal RNA", at positions 1 to 917 of the family's 1533-position model. The record is from RNAcentral. RNAcentral also lists the same sequence under 1 other name.
UGGAUCCAGACUUUGAUUAUGGCUCAGGAUGAACGCUAGCUACAGGCUUAACACAUGCAAGUCGAGGGGCAGCAUGACGAUAGCUUGCUAUUGUUGAUGGCGACCGGCGCACGGGUGAGUAACGCGUAUCCAACCUGCCCUUGUCCAUCGGAUAACCCGUCGAAAGGCGGCCUAACACGAUAUGCAGUCCACAGAAGGCAUCUGACGCGGACGAAAUGUAAAGGAGAAGGAUGGGGAUGCGUCUGAUUAGCUUGUUGGCGGGGUAACGGCCCACCAAGGCGACGAUCAGUAGGGGUUCUGAGAGGAAGGUCCCCCACAUUGGAACUGAGACACGGUCCAAACUCCUACGGGAGGCAGCAGUGAGGAAUAUUGGUCAAUGGGCGAGAGCCUGAACCAGCCAAGUAGCGUGCAGGAAGACGGCCCUAUGGGUUGUAAACUGCUUUUAUGCGGGGAUAAAGUGAGCCACGUGUGGCUUAUUGCAGGUACCGCAUGAAUAAGGACCGGCUAAUUCCGUGCCAGCAGCCGCGGUAAUACGGAAGGUCCGGGCGUUAUCCGGAUUUAUUGGGUUUAAAGGGAGCGUAGGCCGUCUGGUAAGCGUGUUGUGAAAUGUCGGGGCUCAACCUGGGCAUUGCAGCGCGAACUGUCAGACUUGAGUGCGCGGGAAGUAGGCGGAAUUCGUCGUGUAGCGGUGAAAUGCUUAGAUAUGACGAAGAACUCCGAUUGCGAAGGCAGCCUGCUGUAGCGCAACUGACGCUGAAGCUCGAAAGCGUGGGUAUCGAACAGGAUUAGAUACCCUGGUAGUCCACGCGGUAAACGAUGGAUGCUCGCUGUUUGCGUCUGACGUAAGCGGCCAAGCGAAAGCGUUAAGCAUCCCACCUGGGGAGUACGCCGGCAACGGUGCAACUCAAAUGAAUUGACGGA